UGGCUCAGUGGUGAAGAGCACUGGCUGCUCUUCCAGAGAACCUGGGUUCGAUUCCCAG
RNAcentral lists this transfer RNA (58 nucleotides) under Mesocricetus auratus (golden hamster). It matches the Rfam family "tRNA", at positions 8 to 63 of the family's 71-position model. From Rfam's summary of the family: Transfer RNA (tRNA) molecules are approximately 80 nucleotides in length. Their secondary structure includes four short double-helical elements and three loops (D, anti-codon, and T loops). The record is from Rfam by way of RNAcentral. Lineage: Eukaryota; Metazoa; Chordata; Mammalia; Rodentia; Cricetidae.